This 234-nucleotide ribosomal RNA is filed under the name uncultured bacterium. Its description in RNAcentral is "partial 16S ribosomal RNA". It matches the Rfam family "Bacterial small subunit ribosomal RNA", at positions 15 to 225 of the family's 1533-position model. The record is from RNAcentral.
GAUCCUGGCUCAGGACGAACGCUGGCGGCGUGCUUAACACAUGCAAGUCGAACGAAGAGCGAUGGAAGCUUGCUUCUAUCAAUCUUAGUGGCGAACGGGUGAGUAACGCGUAAUCAACCUGCCCUUCAGAGGGGGACGAACAGUUGGAAACGACUGCUAAUACCGCAUACGAUUCAAUCUCGGCAUCGAGACUGGAUGAAAGGUGGCCUCUAUUUAUAAGCUAUCACUGAAGGG